GCAACGCGAAGAACCUUACCAACUCUUGACAUCCCAUUGACCGCUUGAGAGAUCAAGUUUUCCCUUCGGGGACAAUGGUGACAGGUGGUGCAUGGUUGUCGUCAGCUCGUGUCGUGAGAUGUUGGGUUAAGUCCCGCAACGAGCGCAACCCCUAUCCUUAGUUGCCAGCAUUCAGUUGGGCACUCUAGGGAGACUGCCGGUGACAAACCGGAGGAAGGUGGGGAUGACGUCAAAUCAUCAUGCCCCUUAUGAGUUGGGCUACACACGUGCUACAAUGGACGGUACAAAGGGCAGCGAGACCGCGAGGUGGAGCCAAUCCCAUAAAGCCGUUCCCAGUUCGGAUUGCAGGCUGCAACUCGCCUGCAUGAAGUCGGAAUCGCUAGUAAUCGCAGGUCAGCAUACUGCGGUGAAUACGUUCCCGGGUCUUGUACACACCGCCCGUCACACCACGAGAGUUUGCAACACCCGAAGCCGGUGAGUAACCNACAAGGAGCCAGCCGUCGAAGUGGGUAGUNUUGG
RNAcentral lists this ribosomal RNA (519 nucleotides) under uncultured Exiguobacterium sp. RNAcentral's name for it is "bacterial SSU rRNA". It matches the Rfam family "Bacterial small subunit ribosomal RNA", at positions 956 to 1471 of the family's 1533-position model. Lineage: Bacteria; Bacillati; Bacillota; Bacilli; Caryophanales. The record is from RNAcentral.